AGCCCSGGCACUUUUAGGGUGCUUCUCUAAAUUUGCAUUUUAG
This 43-nucleotide transfer RNA is filed under the name Gekko swinhonis (Peking gecko). RNAcentral's name for it is "partial tRNA-Cys". The record is from RNAcentral. Lineage: Eukaryota; Metazoa; Chordata; Lepidosauria; Squamata; Gekkonidae.